This 270-nucleotide ribosomal RNA is filed under the name uncultured archaeon. Its description in RNAcentral is "partial 16S ribosomal RNA". It matches the Rfam family "Archaeal small subunit ribosomal RNA", at positions 477 to 747 of the family's 1478-position model. The record is from RNAcentral.
CGGCACCUCAAGUGGUCAGGAUGAUUAUUGGGCCUAAAGCAUCCGUAGCCGGCUCUGUAAGUUUUCGGUUAAAUCUGUACGCUUAACGUACAGGCUGCCGGGAAUACUGCAGAGCUAGGGAGUGGGAGAGGUAGACGGUACUCGGUAGGAAGGGGUAAAAUCCUUUGAUCUAUUGAUGACCACCUGUGGCGAAGGCGGUCUACCAGAACACGUCCGACGGUGAGGGAUGAAAGCUGGGGGAGCAAACCGGAUUAGACACCCGAGUAGUCC